Molecule: small RNA, 131 nt
Filed under: Algibacter sp.
Lineage: Bacteria; Pseudomonadati; Bacteroidota; Flavobacteriia; Flavobacteriales; Flavobacteriaceae
Description: 6S RNA
Rfam family: 6S-Flavo RNA
Source: RNAcentral
ACUCAACGAAUAUUUCUUUAAAAAGGGUGAGUUUAAGUUGUAAAAGCAAGCUGCUAGUGCUGAAUUUAUUUUCGGUAUCUCGAGCAGAUCCUUGAUCAGCUUGUUAGCCCUAAACUUGUUUUAAGGAGUUU